This 315-nucleotide ribosomal RNA is filed under the name uncultured eukaryote. RNAcentral describes it as "partial 18S ribosomal RNA". It matches the Rfam family "Eukaryotic small subunit ribosomal RNA", at positions 1470 to 1796 of the family's 1831-position model. The record is from RNAcentral.
CCCUUAGAUGUUCUGGGCUGCACGCGCGCUACACUGACGCACGCAACAGGUGCCUGCUCCGAGAGGACUGGGUAAUCAUUUGGGUGUGCGUCGUGAUGGGGAUAGAAUAUUGUAAUUAUUACUCUUCAACGAGGAAUUCCUAGUAAGCGCCAGUCAGCAGCUUGCGCUGAUUACGUCCCUGCCCUUUGUACACACCGCCCGUCGCUCCUACCGAUGGGUGAUCCGGUGAAUGAUUCGGACUUCAGCGGCUCCCCUGGGGUGCGCCGGAGAAAGUUUUGUGAACCUUAUCACUUGGAGGAAGGAGAAGUCGUAACA